Molecule: long non-coding RNA, 2295 nt
Filed under: Setaria viridis
Lineage: Eukaryota; Viridiplantae; Streptophyta; Magnoliopsida; Poales; Poaceae
Description: long non-coding RNA (SVIR_LNC002650)
Source: RNAcentral
UUCCAUUUCGAAUUCUAGGGUUUUGCUGUUCUCCCGUGCUCUGAAGCCCGCAUCGCCGCAUCAGGUGCGGUUCCUCGCGCUCGACUGAAAAUGGUGAGUGCGCCAACGGAUCCGAUUCUCGCCACGUUUGAUCGGUGGAUCUGUGGUUUCGCGUAUUUGAUCUGUGAUGUUUUGUGGUUUUCAGGCGCUGCCGAAUCAGGGGACUGUGGAUUACCCCAGCUUCAAGCUCGUCAUCGUCGGCGAUGGCGGAACGGGUGAGUUCUUAUCCGUUUCGUGAUGCGAUUAUUUGUUAGAAAUAGUAGAAUCUGAUGUGUUACGUUCUUAAAUACAGUCAGUUUCUACGAGAUCUGAUGGAUUACGCCUUCUGCUGUUGUGUGGAAUCUGUCGAUGUUAUUGUGCUCCGUGAUUUUGUCAUAUUAGAUUAUAUUUUACCGUGAUACUGAAUUUAAUCACGCCCAUGUUAUAGAAUUGCCCACCUCAUUUUUUCCCCACAAACUGGACGAUGGUACUCAGUUUAUGAUUGUAGGGGCUGUUUUUUAUAUUUAUAUAAAAGGAGUACUGUUUUCGGCAUACUUUGAUACUCAUAUAUGUAUUUUGAUCUGUUAAAUUGAUGCAAAUCCGGUUUUUAAUGUAAAUUAGGGGAGGGCAUGGGAAUUGUCUAUUUUUUAGAUGUGGGCUGGUUUUAUUUAUUGAUGAUUCUAAUGUUCGGAAUCCUCACACAGCAGGGAUUCUGUAGAUCCGCACCUAUUUUUCUCUUGAUCAUAAAAGGCACGAACGCUUCCAUGAGAACUCUUGACAUAGGAUGCUGUUUAUGAUUUUUUUUGUAACCUUAUGUAUCUGAUGGUCAAAGCCUAAUGUUAUUGAUUGCUUCAGUAUUUGUACUCUACCUUGUAUGUUUUAAAUCUUGAUGUUUUCUUUGGUUGCAGGUAAAACCACAUUUGUAAAGAGGCAUCUCACCGGAGAGUUUGAGAAGAAAUACGAACGUAAUUGUCAUGUGAACUUGGGUUUCCUUUCAUCUACUUAAUUGUUAAUUAUACUUACUGCAGCUAAUGCAUUUCGUUAAUUCAGCAACCAUUGGUGUCGAAGUUCAUCCUUUGGAUUUCACCACUAACUGCGGUAAGAUCCGUUUCUACUGCUGGGACACGGCUGGGCAAGAGAAGUUUGGUGGCCUCAGGGAUGGAUACUAGUAAGUCUUAUCUGCCAUAGUCUUUUAAGUAAAUGUGAUUUAGUCCCUGCUAAAUUUCAUAUGAAAUUAUAAAUGAUGCCCUACUUUCAGUGACAUGAAUAAUCAAGCUAUCAUACCCUGUAAAUUUAAUCCUUACCUUCAACACAGAACCUGUUCUUUCAUUGCAUUAAGUUACUGCUUCUAAUUUUCUAUUUCCCUGCAGUAUCCAUGGCCAGUGUGCGAUUAUAAUGUUUGAUGUAACCUCAAGGUUGACUUACAAGAAUGUUCCUACAUGGCAUAGGGACCUGUGCAGGUUUGUUUCAAUCUUUCUGUGUCAUACAACUUGCACUUUGAUGUAUAAUGUUGGGGGAUUCUGAUGUUCAAUUAUGAAUUCUUGCAGGGUGUGUGAAAACAUCCCCAUUGUCCUGUGCGGUAACAAGGUUGAUGUGAAGAACAGGCAGGUCAAGGCCAAGCAGGUCACCUUCCACAGGAAGAAGAACCUGCAGUACUAUGAGAUUUCUGCCAAGAGCAACUAUAACUUUGAGAAGCCUUUCCUUUACCUUGCAAGGAAGUUGGCUGGGUAACUAACUAAUUACUUUAAUUUUUCGCAUCUUGAGGUUACAGCAAAUACCUACAUAUAUUAAUUAUUGUCGAUGGCUUUGGUCCUAUCAGCGAUCCCAACCUCCACUUUGUUGAAGCCGUUGCUCUUAAGCCUCCGGAAGUUACCAUUGAUAUGGCUAUGCAGCAACAGUGAGUGUCCACCUUUGUUCUUAUCUACUGUCAUUUUUAUGCACAUCCAAAAUCAGUCACCUUGAUAUUAAGUGUUUCAAGAACUGAUUCUCUUCUCAUUUUGAUUGCAGGCAUGAAGCUGAGCUUGCUGCAGCGGCCGCACAACCUCUUCCUGAUGACGAUGACGAUCUGAUUGAGUAGAAAGUGGAUCAUGAGUCUCAGACCUGAGCAGACGGAGUUGUGCCCUUGCAUAAGAGUUGUUUUAGAACGAACUCUCUAGAGUUAGCGUUGUCUAAAUCUGGAUCUUUUCUGUCUCGAGACGUGUUGCAACUUUUCAAUGUGUUGACAUCGCUGGACUUGUUGCCAUGAAUUUGCUGGCUCCUUUAUACAUUGCUUUGUUA